Long non-coding RNA from Melospiza melodia melodia, 882 nucleotides. RefSeq lists it as uncharacterized. Lineage: Eukaryota; Metazoa; Chordata; Aves; Passeriformes; Passerellidae. The record is from RefSeq and is a predicted model, not a curated record. The transcript has 3 exons.
CCUUCAGGUACUAAAAAGCUGCUGGAGGUGACCCUGAAGCCUUCUCCAGGCUGAAUAAUCCAGAUUUUCUCAGCCUUUCCAUUCAUCUGUAUGUUGUAGUUUGGCAAGAAAGGCAGGAAGAGACAUCUCAGCAGAGAUUUUCCGUAGGAAUUAGUGUUUGAUGUCAUUGGGAGCACUUUUAUUUCCAUUUCUGAUGCAAUAGUAGGUUUUCAGCACCUACAGCGUUCCCCAUUUGGAGUUCAAGGAAAGCGGAUUUCUUUGAUCUGUAUUCUGAAGGACACACAAAGUUUGAAUAAAAGAAAAUCAGCGUGUUCCUGUGGCUGAGGACAUCAUGUGGGAAGUGCAAAGCAGUUUUGGCUGGUCUACAGUUCAUGAAAAAAAAAAAAAAAAAGCAACUUGCCAUUAGUGGGUCAUCUGAUGCUGUAACUGUGUGCUGGUGCCCAGCUUCCAGGGUUUCUGGUGUCCUUUCCAGUGGAGGGGUUGUUCAUGUCUGGUGCUGUGGGCCAAGAAAAGAAGGAACAAGCCUGAAAAACCCCAUAUCCUCUUGCAGGACCAGAUCCAUCUUUUGGAUGUGGUUCCUGUUGAGUACACCAGACAUUUCCCAAGUUGAGCUAAGCACAGAGCUUGACCUGCUGAUUUUGCAAGCCCCAGUUUAAGUUCCAUGUGUGCUUUUAUCCAGUUAAUCAAACAGCUGUUUCUCCAGUGAGAUAAAUGCCCUCCUCUGACGUGUCUCCAGGCGAUGUUUGGCUGCUUUAUCUUUGCUCCUGCUUCUCACAAACCCUCUCUGUCUGACCACUGGGUGUCAGUAAAAGACUGCAAAGUGGUUUUUGUAGUUAAAUAUACAUGAGUUCCUCUCAGGCUCUGUGGGUGUUCCUUACUUAA